GUAAUGGCUGUAAGCGGGCCCGUCUUGAAACACGGACCAAGGAGUCUAACAUCUAUGCGAGUGUUUGGGUGUCAAGCCCGAGCGCGUAAUGAAAGUGAACGGAGGUGGGAACCCGCAAGGGCGCACCAUCGACCGAUCCUGAAGUUUACGGAAGGAUUUGAGUAAGAGCAUGGCUGUUGGGACCCGAAAGAUGGUGAACUAUGCUUGAAUAGGGUGAAGCCAGAGGAAACUCUGGUGGAGGCUCGCAGCGGUUCUGACGUGCAAAUCGAUCGUCAAAUUUGGGCAUAGGGGCGAAAGACUAAUCGAACUAUCUAGUAGCUGGUUCCUGCCGAAGUUUCCCUCAGGAUAGCAGUAACGUAUUCAGUUUUAUGAGGUAAAGCGAAUGAUUAGAGGCAUGGGGGUUGAAACAACCUUCACCUAUUCUCAAACUUUAAAUAUGUAAGAAGCCCUUUGUUACUUAAUUGAACGCGGGCAUUUGAAUGAAACGUUAUUAGUGGGCCAUUUUUGGUAAGCAGAACUGGCGAUGCGGGAUGAACCGAACGAGGGGUUACGGUGCCGGAGUACACGCUCAUCAGACACCACAAAAGGUGUUGGUUCAUCUAGACAGCAGGACGGUGGCCAUGGAAGUCGGAAUCCGCUAAGGAGUGUGUAACAACUCACCUGCCGAAUGAACUAGCCCUGAAAAUGGAUGGCGCUCAAGCGUGUCACCUAUACCCCUCCGCCGGGGCAAAAUUUACGCCCCGGCGAGUAGGCAGGCGUGGAGGCUCGUGACGAAGCCUU
This 780-nucleotide ribosomal RNA is filed under the name Curvularia verruculosa. Its description in RNAcentral is "partial large subunit ribosomal RNA". It matches the Rfam family "Eukaryotic large subunit ribosomal RNA", at positions 630 to 1412 of the family's 3401-position model. The record is from RNAcentral. Lineage: Eukaryota; Fungi; Ascomycota; Dothideomycetes; Pleosporales; Pleosporaceae.